RNAcentral lists this ribosomal RNA (253 nucleotides) under uncultured bacterium. RNAcentral describes it as "partial 16S ribosomal RNA". It matches the Rfam family "Bacterial small subunit ribosomal RNA", at positions 524 to 776 of the family's 1533-position model. The record is from RNAcentral.
UACGGGGGGGGCAAGCGUUGUUCGGAAUUACUGGGCGUAAAGGGCGCGUAGGCGGUUGGAUAAGUUGGUGGUGCAAACCUCGAGCUUAACUCGGGGCCUGCCAUCAAUACUGCCCGGCUGGAGUGUGGGAGAGGAGAGUGGAAUUCCCGGUGUAGCGGUGAAAUGCGUAGAUAUGGGGAGGAACACCUGUGGCGAAAGCGGCUCACUGGACCACAACUGACGCUGAGGCGCGAAAGCGAGGGGAGCAAACAGG